GACGAACGCUGGCGGCGUGCUUAACACAUGCAAGUCGAACGGAAAGGCCCUGCUUUUGUGGGGUGCUCGAGUGGCGAACGGGUGAGUAACACGUGAGUAACCUGCCCUUGGCUUUGGGAUAACUUCAGGGAACUGGGGCUAAUACCGGAUAGGAGCUCCUGCUGCAUGGUGGGGGGUGGAAAGUUUCGGCGGUUGGGGAUGGACUCUCGGCUUAUCAGCUUGUUGGUGGGGUAGUGGCUUACCAAGGCUUUGACGGGUAGCCGUCCUGAGAGGGUGAACGGCCACAUUGGUACUGGGAUACGGCCCAGACUGCUACGGGAGGCAGCCGUGGUGAAUAGUGCACAAUGGGCGGAAGCCUGAUGCAGAAGCGCCGCGUGCGGGAUGACGGCCUUCUGGUUGUAAACCGCUUUCGCCUGUGACGAAGCGUGAGUGACGGUAAUGGGUAAAUAAGCACCGGCUAACUACGUG
Molecule: ribosomal RNA, 468 nt
Filed under: uncultured bacterium
Lineage: Bacteria
Description: partial 16S ribosomal RNA
Rfam family: Bacterial small subunit ribosomal RNA
Source: RNAcentral